AUGAUAAUUGGGGACUUUAACGAAAUCUUAUACUCGCCAGAGAAGGGAGGGGGCGCUCCCCGCCAACAGUCUCAUUUACAGGCGUUUCAAGAUGCUUUGUCUGACUGCAUGUUAGAGGAUGUUGGCUUCGUAGGGGACAAAUUCACUUGGUUCAGGGGUGGGAUGCGAGAGAGGCUAGAUCGAGCGGUCUCCAAUGCAGCUUGGCUGCUAUUGCACCCAUCUGCAGGGCUCAGCAACUUGGAGCUAGGCAAAUCAGAUCACCGUCCGUUGCUGAUGGAUACGGAGUAUCUGUCUAGGGUUGCGGAUAAUAACCCGAAGAAAGAACGCAAGUUUGAAAUGAGGUGGCUGGAGGAAGAAACAGUUAAUGAGAUUGUGAACACUGCAUGGCAGAAGGCCAUUCACCAAGGUUUAUGCCCUGCGAUUUCUGACAAGCUUAGGGUUAUACACCAGGAUUUACAUGAGUGGGACCGUAAGAUAUUACGGAAGCCAUAG
This 492-nucleotide ribosomal RNA is filed under the name Triticum aestivum (bread wheat). RNAcentral's name for it is "partial small subunit ribosomal RNA". The record is from RNAcentral. Lineage: Eukaryota; Viridiplantae; Streptophyta; Magnoliopsida; Poales; Poaceae.